CUUAUGAAGUUAGCGGCGGACGGGUGAGUAACACGUGGGUAACCUGCCCAUAAGACUGGGAUAACUCCGGGAAACCGGGGCUAAUACCGGAUAACAUUUUGAACCGCAUGGUUCGAAAUUGAAAGGCGGCUUCGGCUGUCACUUAUGGAUGGACCCGCGUCGCAUUAGCUAGUUGGUGAGGUAACGGCUCACCAAGGCAACGAUGCGUAGCCGACCUGAGAGGGUGAUCGGCCACACUGGGACUGAGACACGGCCCAGACUCCUACGGGAGGCAGCAGUAGGGAAUCUUCCGCAAUGGACGAAAGUCUGACGGAGCAACGCCGCGUGAGUGAUGAAGGCUUUCGGGUCGUAAAACUCUGUUGUUAGGGAAGAACAAGUGCUAGUUGAAUAAGCUGGCACCUUGACGGUACCUAACCAGAAAGCCACGGCUAACUACGUGCCAGCAGCCGCGGUAAUACGUAGGUGGCAAGCGUUAUCCGGAAUUAUUGGGCGUAAAGCGCGCGCAGGUGGUUUCUUAAGUCUGAUGU
This 527-nucleotide ribosomal RNA is filed under the name Bacillus cereus. RNAcentral's name for it is "bacterial SSU rRNA". It matches the Rfam family "Bacterial small subunit ribosomal RNA", at positions 83 to 595 of the family's 1533-position model. Lineage: Bacteria; Bacillati; Bacillota; Bacilli; Caryophanales; Bacillaceae. The record is from RNAcentral.